ACGAACGCUGGCGGCGUGCCUAAUACAUGCAAGUAGAACGCUGAAGAGAGGAGCUUGCUCUUCUUGGAUGAGUUGCGAACGGGUGAGUAACGCGUAGGUAACCUACCUUGUAGCGGGGGAUAACUAUUGGAAACGAUAGCUAAUACCGCAUAACAAUGGAUGACACAUGUCAUUUAUUUGAAAGGGGCAAUUGCUCCACUACAAGAUGGACCUGCGUUGUAUUAGCUAGUAGGUGAGGUAAUGGCUCACCUAGGCGACGAUACAUAGCCGACCUGAGAGGGUGAUCGGCCACACUGGGACUGAGACACGGCCCAGACUCCUACGGGAGGCAGCAGUAGGGAAUCUUCGGCAAUGGGGGCAACCCUGACCGAGCAACGCCGCGUGAGUGAAGAAGGUUUUCGGAUCGUAAAGCUCUGUUGUAAGUCAAGAACGGGUGUGAGAGUGGAAAGUUCACACUGUGACGGUAGCUUACCAGAAAGGGACGGCUAACUACGUG
RNAcentral lists this ribosomal RNA (496 nucleotides) under uncultured bacterium. RNAcentral describes it as "partial 16S ribosomal RNA". It matches the Rfam family "Bacterial small subunit ribosomal RNA", at positions 29 to 507 of the family's 1533-position model. The record is from RNAcentral.